This 253-nucleotide ribosomal RNA is filed under the name uncultured bacterium. Its description in RNAcentral is "partial 16S ribosomal RNA". It matches the Rfam family "Bacterial small subunit ribosomal RNA", at positions 524 to 776 of the family's 1533-position model. The record is from RNAcentral.
UACGUAGGGGGCAAGCGUUGUCCGGAUUUAUUGGGCGUAAAGAGCGUGUAGGCGGUCAGGUAGGUCCGUUGUGAAAACUCGAGGCUCAACCUCGAGACGCCGAUGGAAACCAUCUGGCUAGAGUCCGGAAGAGGAGAGUGGAAUUCCCGGUGUAGCGGUGAAAUGCGCAGAUAUCGGGAAGAACACCGGUGGCGAAGGCGACCCGCUGGCCAGCGACUGACACUGAGACGCGAAAGCGUGGGGAGCAAACAGG